This 184-nucleotide ribosomal RNA is filed under the name CFB group bacterium kba28f. RNAcentral describes it as "partial 16S ribosomal RNA". It matches the Rfam family "Bacterial small subunit ribosomal RNA", at positions 673 to 856 of the family's 1533-position model. Lineage: Bacteria; Pseudomonadati; Bacteroidota. The record is from RNAcentral.
GUGUAGCGGUGAAAUGCAUAGAUAUUACUUAGAACACCGAUUGCGAAGGCAGCCUACUACCCAUAUACUGACGCUCAUGGACGAAAGCGUGGGGAGCGAACAGGAUUAGAUACCCUGGUAGUCCACGCCGUAAACGCUGGACACUAGCUGUGGGUGAUAUGUACAUCACGUGGCGUAAGCGAAA